This is a long non-coding RNA of Vigna radiata var. radiata (mung bean), 567 nucleotides long. RefSeq lists it as uncharacterized. The record is from RefSeq and is a predicted model, not a curated record. The transcript has 2 exons. NCBI's taxonomy places the organism in Eukaryota, Viridiplantae, Streptophyta, Magnoliopsida, Fabales, Fabaceae.
UAAUAUUAUUUACUAAACCCUAAAUAUUCACUUUUAUUCUCCUCACAGCCCACCCCCCAAAACAUUUUUGAGAUCCGCCUCUUCCUCUCACUUCCGUUUCUCUCUUCUUCCCACCUCCUUCAUCCUUUAUGCUUUACCUUUGUUCUGAGUGUUAGUGCAGUGCGGUGGUGCGGUGCGGUGGUCUUACUGUUCAUGGUGCGGUGUUUUUGCUGAGGUGGUUGGUUUUAUCGGUGCAGAUUUUCCUUCAAGUUCUUGUAGUGUUGUCCAGUUGUCUUUUGGUUGCUCUAAAUAAUCAUGUUUGGUCUAUGCGGUGCUUCUCAACAAUUUUAAGUAUGAGUCAUUGAUUUAACAAGGUGGGUGUUCAUUGCUGCCUCGGGGACGAACAUUGCUAUCUUGGGGACGAAUAUUGCUAUCUUGGACCAUUUUAAGCUGAUUAAAAAGUGAUGAAUCUCUGCUGAUGUUUGCUGUUUCAAAAUCUAUAUAAAACUUGGUGUCAAAGAGGUUUAGUGUUUGCUGUUAUAAAAUGUAUAUAAAUACUGAUAUGAGCAAUCAAUUUUUUUGAUACAA